UACGGAGGGCGCAAGCAGUGUUCGGAAUCACUGGGCGUAAAGCGCGUGUAGGCGGCUUGGCAAGUCGGAUGUGAAAUCCCGAGGCUCAACCUCGGAACUGCACUCGAAACUGCCUGGCUCGAGUCCCGGAGAGGGUGGCGGAAUUCCCGGUGUAGGGGUGAAAUCCGUAGAGAUCGGGAGGAACAACAGUGGCGAAGGCGGCCACCUGGACGGUGACUGACGAUGAGACGCGAAAGAGUGGGGAGCAAACAGG
RNAcentral lists this ribosomal RNA (253 nucleotides) under uncultured bacterium. Its description in RNAcentral is "partial 16S ribosomal RNA". It matches the Rfam family "Bacterial small subunit ribosomal RNA", at positions 524 to 776 of the family's 1533-position model. The record is from RNAcentral.